GAACCUGGCAAGGGGAAGGCAGGGACAAGUGUAGAGUCUUCCAGCCCAGGAACUACUACUCCCGGUCCAGGACGGAGGGAUGUGGGAUUUGAUGAGCUCUAGGAACCCGGGAAGCAAAGAAGUAGACCCCAUGGCCUUGUUCUUCCAGUCAGCGCACCGUUGAGUGCUUCCAGAACUUCAGGACAUCUUCCAUGUUCUCCAGGGGCUGUAGCAGGAAGUGGUCUCGCCAUUCUUGCCAGUCAAUGCUUGCUGCAAAGAGAUGGAAACGCCCAGGGCUUGGAAGCUCUGCUGGAUUUCUGAGGCAUCUAUGUGGCCUGGGAGGAACACAGGGGAAAGAGGUUUCCAUGGGUUGAAUCCACUUGAUCUUGCAUGAGGGAAAAGUGGGGACUGAGGAGUUGGAAGAGAUGAGACCCAUAGAAGAAAAUAGGAAGGACUCCUUUUCUAGGGGCUUAAGAUCAAGGAGACAGGGGAUAGGAUCCAGGAGAUUAGAGGCUGGGACUGAAUGGGAAACAAGUGGCCAAGAAAGACUGCAGUCCUAACACAGGCAUUUGGGAUAAAAGGGGAUACUGGAAGCCAAUCCCCUCAUUUUAUAGAUGAGGAAACUAGGCCCAGACAAGAGAAGGGAGUGUGAAAAAGCAGAGAAAAGAUCUGAAUCUAGAGUUACCUGAUGGAAAACCCUAGGUUCUCUAUUCUAACACAUUGCUUCUCCCAGUCUAGGACUGACUGGGAGCCAUGGGUCAUGUCUGAGAGGAAUGUGGGAUUUAAUGAGCUCUAGGAACUGGGGCCUGGGGCAUCCAAGGAAGCAAAGAAAGCUAGAAGCACGUCACUGGGAACUGGGCCAUGAGCUGGUACAGCAGACCACCCUUCUCCUUAUUCUGCUUGGAAGCCCUUCCCUUUCCCAAUUCCUGGGGACCAAAGCCCAGAUGUUCAAGUUCCCCAGCUCUCUCUGGGUAGUUUCAGAGACAGAAACAGGUGAGGAAACUGACUCAGAGGGGCAGAAAUGACAAGCACUAUGUUGUAACAGAAAAGAUUUCCAGUUAAAAGGCAUCAGGCUCACUAAGUCCCAUGACCAAAAGGCUCAAGGAAGGGAAAGCUAAGUGGGCACAGUUUCUUCAAGGAGCUGUGUUCUUGUUAGAUGGGACCGGCUCAGCUACCUCCCAAUAGAAGCCUGUUGAUUACUGAAGACAGAAGGAAAGGAAGGGCUAAACUCUAGGGUCUCUAGAGGCCCUGGAGAAGAGCUACAUG
Long non-coding RNA from Sarcophilus harrisii (Tasmanian devil), 1245 nucleotides. RefSeq lists it as uncharacterized. Lineage: Eukaryota; Metazoa; Chordata; Mammalia; Dasyuromorphia; Dasyuridae. The record is from RefSeq and is a predicted model, not a curated record. The transcript has 6 exons.